UACGGAGGGGGCAAGCGUUGUCCGGAUUUACUGGGCGUAAAGAGCGCGCAGGCGGUCGUUCAAGUCGCGUGUGAAAGCCCCCGGCUCAACUGGGGAGGGUCACGCGAUACUGAUCGACUCGAAGGCAGGAGAGGGAAGUGGAAUUCCCGGUGUAGUGGUGAAAUGCGUAGAUAUCGGGAGGAACACCAGUGGCGAAGGCGACUUCCUGGCCUGUUCUUGACGCUGAGGCGCGAAAGCUAGGGGAGCAAACGGG
This 253-nucleotide ribosomal RNA is filed under the name uncultured bacterium. RNAcentral's name for it is "partial 16S ribosomal RNA". It matches the Rfam family "Bacterial small subunit ribosomal RNA", at positions 524 to 776 of the family's 1533-position model. The record is from RNAcentral.